AAAACUCUGUUUACAGUGACGUCCGAGUACAAUACAAAUAGUAAAAACUUUCAACAACGGAUCUCUUGGUUCCAGCAUCGAUGAAGAACGCAGCGAAAUGCGAUAAGUAAUGUGAAUUGCAGAAUUCAGUGAAUCAUCGAAUCUUUGAACGCACAUUGCGCCCCUCGGUAUUCCGGGGGGCAUGCCUGUUCGAGCGUCAUUAC
RNAcentral lists this ribosomal RNA (203 nucleotides) under Usnea cornuta. RNAcentral describes it as "5.8S ribosomal RNA". The stretch from base 46 to 199 matches the Rfam family "5.8S ribosomal RNA". From Rfam's summary of the family: 5.8S ribosomal RNA (5.8S rRNA) is a component of the large subunit of the eukaryotic ribosome. It is transcribed by RNA polymerase I as part of the 45S precursor that also contains 18S and 28S rRNA. Functionally, it is thought that 5.8S rRNA may be involved in ribosome translocation. The record is from RNAcentral. Lineage: Eukaryota; Fungi; Ascomycota; Lecanoromycetes; Lecanorales; Parmeliaceae.